UCCUACGGGGGGCAGCAGUGGGGAAUCUUCCGCAAUGGGCGCAAGCCUGACGGAGCAACGCCGCGUGAAUGAAGAAGGUCUUCGGAUCGUAAAGUUCUGUUCUUAGGGAAGAAGUCUUAGGUUGUGAAUAAUGACUUAAGGUGACGGUACCUAUGGAGAAAGCUCCGGCUAACUACGUGCCAGCAGCCGCGGUAAUACGUAGGUGGCGAGCGUUAUCCGGAAUGAUUGGGCGUAAAGGGUGCGUAGGCGGCCUGCUAAGUCUGGAGUGAAAGGUACCGGCUCAACCGGUACAGGCUCUGGAAACU
RNAcentral lists this ribosomal RNA (305 nucleotides) under uncultured bacterium. RNAcentral describes it as "bacterial SSU rRNA". It matches the Rfam family "Bacterial small subunit ribosomal RNA", at positions 337 to 634 of the family's 1533-position model. The record is from RNAcentral.